CCUACGGGGGGCAGCAGUGGGGAAUAUUGCGCAAUGGACGAAAGUCUGACGCAGCGACGCCGCGUGAGUGAUGAAGGUUUUCGGAUCGUAAACCUCUUUCAGGAGGGAAGAAAGCGCAUGGCGCCAAUCAGCCAUGCGUUGACGGUACCUCCAAAGGAAGCGCCGGCUAACUCCGUGCCAGCAGCCGCGGUAAUACGGAGGGCGCGAGCGUUAAUCGGAGUUACUGGGCGUAAAGCGCACGUAGGCUGUUGUGUAAGUUAGGGGUGAAAUCCUAGGGCUCAACCGUGGAACAGCUCUUGAUACUGCGCGACUUGAAUACGGGAGAGGGUGGCGGAAUUCCAGGUGUAGGGGUGAAAUCCGUAGAUAUCUGGAGGAACACCAGUGGCGAAGGCGGCAACCUGGACCGGUAUUGACGCUGAGGCGCGAAAGCGUGGGGAGCAAACAGGAUUAGAUACCCGUGUAGUC
RNAcentral lists this ribosomal RNA (465 nucleotides) under uncultured bacterium. Its description in RNAcentral is "partial 16S ribosomal RNA". It matches the Rfam family "Bacterial small subunit ribosomal RNA", at positions 338 to 795 of the family's 1533-position model. The record is from RNAcentral.